This 481-nucleotide ribosomal RNA is filed under the name Micrococcus sp. RNAcentral describes it as "bacterial SSU rRNA". It matches the Rfam family "Bacterial small subunit ribosomal RNA", at positions 119 to 614 of the family's 1533-position model. Lineage: Bacteria; Bacillati; Actinomycetota; Actinomycetes; Micrococcales; Micrococcaceae. The record is from RNAcentral.
GAGUAACCUGCCCUUAACUCUGGGAUAAGCCUGGGAAACUGGGUCUAAUACCGGAUAGGAGCGNCCACCGCAUGGUGGGUGUUGGAAAGAUUUAUCGGUUUUGGAUGGACUCGCGGCCUAUCAGCUUGUUGGUGAGGUAAUGGCUCACCAAGGCGACGACGGGUAGCCGGCCUGAGAGGGUGACCGGCCACACUGGGACUGAGACACGGCCCAGACUCCUACGGGAGGCAGCAGUGGGGAAUAUUGCACAAUGGGCGCAAGCCUGAUGCAGCGACGCCGCGUGAGGGAUGACGGCCUUCGGGUUGUAAACCUCUUUCAGUAGGGAAGAAGCGAAAGUGACGGUACCUGCAGAAGAAGCACCGGCUAACUACGUGCCAGCAGCCGCGGUAAUACGUAGGGUGCGAGCGUUAUCCGGAAUUAUUGGGCGUAAAGAGCUCGUAGGCGGUUUGUCGCGUCUGUCGUGAAAGUCCGGGGCUUAACC